RNAcentral lists this ribosomal RNA (250 nucleotides) under uncultured bacterium. RNAcentral describes it as "partial 16S ribosomal RNA". It matches the Rfam family "Bacterial small subunit ribosomal RNA", at positions 791 to 1035 of the family's 1533-position model. The record is from RNAcentral.
UAGUCCACGCCGUAAACGAUGAGUGUUAGAUGUCCGAGGUAAACUUGGGUGUCCCAAGCUAACGCGAUAAACACUCCGCCUGGGGAGUACGUACGCAAGUAUGAAACUCAAAGGAAUUGACGGGGACCCGCACAAGCAGCGGAGCAUGUGGUUUAAUUCGACGCAACGCGAAGAACCUUACCAAGUCUUGACAUAACUUUGAAGCCGAUUAGAGAUAGUUGGUGUUUGUACUUCGGUCAACAAAGACUAC